CUCAUUCCUGCCCCUGUGAUCACACCCGUGCACGUGUCCUCUAGAAGAGGUGAGCAGUCGCCGUCAGCAGUGGAGGCCAUGGCCGCAGAACAUGUACGGACUGAUGAACGAGGAUCAGAGGUUUUCAGACUGCGAGGCGAGUUGAAGGGGGAGGUGCAGGUGUGGAGCAUCACUACAAGCAGCACAGCUCAGUGGAGGGACACAUCAACAAGCUGUUGAAAGGAAAUGCACCAUCCAUGUCAGUGCUGGUGUAAAUCCACAGCAAGCUGUCAGGUCAGUACAGCGAUCAACGAGUGGCCACCUCAACCCCUGCACCACCUCAACUCUGGAUGCUGGGUCAUCUACCUUUAACCGUCCAUCAGACGUCCAAUGUUCGUGCUCCAUUUCUAAUCCCCAUCACCAAAGUUUGGGCUCUGGAGGAAUCGUAUUUUUUCAAGUGCGCAGCCCAGAUAAGACGUCUACAUAGAUGAAACAGACGAAAACAGCACAUCAGCAGCAGCAGCU
Long non-coding RNA from Paralichthys olivaceus (Japanese flounder), 504 nucleotides. RefSeq lists it as uncharacterized. Lineage: Eukaryota; Metazoa; Chordata; Actinopteri; Pleuronectiformes; Paralichthyidae. The record is from RefSeq and is a predicted model, not a curated record.